Molecule: ribosomal RNA, 990 nt
Filed under: uncultured bacterium
Lineage: Bacteria
Description: bacterial SSU rRNA
Rfam family: Bacterial small subunit ribosomal RNA
Source: RNAcentral
AGUGGGGAAUAUUGCGCAAUGGGCGAAAUGCCUGACGCAGCAACGCUGCCUGCAGGAUGAAGGCCUUCGGGUUGUAAACUGCUGAAGAUAGGGAAAAAAUCUUGAUGGUACCUAUCGAGAGCACCGGCUAACUACGUGCCAGCAGCCGCGGUAAUACGUAGGGUGCAAGCGUUACUCGGAUUUACUGGGCGUAAAGCGCGCGUAGGUGGUAAUUUAAGUCGCACGUCAAAUUUCAGGGCUCAACCCUGAAACUGCGUGCGAAACUGAAUUACUUGAGGAUGCCAGAGACAAGUGGAACACCUGGUGUAGGGGUAAAAUCCGUUGAUAUCAGGUGGAACACCGAUGGCGAAGGCAGCUUGUUGGGGCAUUCCUGACACUGAAGCGCGAAAGCGUGGGGAGCGAUCGGGAUUAGAUACCCCGGUAGUCCACGCCGUAAACGAUGCUGACUAGAUAUUGGAAGUUCGACCCUUUCAGUAUCGAAGCUAACGCGUUAAGUCAGCCGCCUGGGGAGUACGGUCGCAAGACUAAAACUCAAAGGAAUUGACGGGGACCCGCACAAGCGGUGGAGCAUGUGGUUUAAUUCGACGAUAAGCGAGGAACCUUACCAGGGCUUGUAUCCAGGGAAGUUGCUAGAAAUAGCGAUGUGCCCGCAAGGGAACCCUGUGACAGGUGCUGCACGGCUGUCGUCAGCUCGUGUCGUGAGAUGUACGGUUAAAUCCGGUAACGAGCGUAACCCGUAUGGUGUGUUAUAUGUCUCACGCCAGACUGCCCGCUUUAAGUGGGAGGAAGGUGCGGAUGACGUCAAGUCAGCGUGGCUCUUACGCCCUGGGCGACACACGUGCUACAAUGGGGUCAACAAAGCGUUGCAAAGCUGUAAAGCGAAGCUAAUCGCAUCAAAUGACCUCAAAGUUCGGAUAGGAGUCUGCAACUCGACUUCUUGAAGCUGGAAUCGCUAGUAAACGCGUAUCAGCCAUGGCGCGUUGAAUACGU